Molecule: non-coding RNA, 267 nt
Organism: Heterocephalus glaber (naked mole-rat)
Lineage: Eukaryota; Metazoa; Chordata; Mammalia; Rodentia; Bathyergidae
Source: RefSeq, a predicted model, not a curated record
CACAACCCCCGACCCUCAUUUCUUCCUCUGCCAAUGGGGACCUCAGCAAUCCUGCCCUAGGGCAUGAUGGAAAGGCAGCUCAAGUUCUGCUCUGUUCCUGUUCUGCCAUGUGCUCUCUCUAUGACGUGCUACCUUGCCACAAGCCCAAAAAGCAACGGCACCAACUGGUCAUGAACUGGAACCUCCAAAAUGUCCAGAGGCCUCACCUACCUGGUUCUCAGACAAGGCCCGGCUUUGAUUCACCAAUUUCCCUUGUGGUGGCCUCAA